Molecule: ribosomal RNA, 398 nt
Filed under: Trachylepis elegans (elegant mabuya)
Lineage: Eukaryota; Metazoa; Chordata; Lepidosauria; Squamata; Scincidae
Description: partial 16S ribosomal RNA
Rfam family: Bacterial large subunit ribosomal RNA
Source: RNAcentral
GGCUAAAUGAGGACAAACCUGUCUCUUAUAACCAAUCAGUGAAACUGAUCUCCCAAUACAAAAGUUGGGAUAUACACAUAAGACGAGAAGACCCCGUGGAGCUUAAAACAAACUACCAAUCUAAACGACCCUGGUAUGCUGUUUUGAGUUGGGGCGACUUCGGAACAAAACAAAACUUCCGAGCACAGAACCACCACUUCUAACUAAGGCCAACAAGCCUAAGUUUAACCUGACCCGGCCUCGCGCCGAUCAACGAACCAAGUUACCCCGGGGAUAACAGCGCUAUCUUCUUCAAGAGUCCCUAUCAACAAGAAGGUUUACGACCUCGAUGUUGGAUCAGGACACCCUAAUGGUGCAGCCGCUAUUAAUGGUUCGUUUGUUCAACGAUUAACAGUCCU